CAGCACUAUUCCAGAUGUGAAAGCAGUACUUCAUUACAAGUCUCAUUUGAGUUUUAUAAAGGCUAGUGGUAGCUGGUGGCUGAAAUACUGUCUAGUCCUGAAGGAGCAAGCAAGUUUGCAAUGCAGUGUUUGUUUUUUUGAGAAUGUGUGU
This is a long non-coding RNA of Octopus sinensis (East Asian common octopus), 151 nucleotides long. RefSeq lists it as uncharacterized. The record is from RefSeq and is a predicted model, not a curated record. Lineage: Eukaryota; Metazoa; Mollusca; Cephalopoda; Octopoda; Octopodidae. The transcript is spliced from 3 exons.